Molecule: long non-coding RNA, 1424 nt
Filed under: Marmota monax (woodchuck)
Lineage: Eukaryota; Metazoa; Chordata; Mammalia; Rodentia; Sciuridae
Source: RNAcentral
GGAACACAUCUAGGAGGGUAGGCCUGGGGUUAAGGUUGUGAACAAAUCUCAUAAAUGUGAGGUGUGGGGUGGAGGCAUAGGAUGUAGCUUCCCUGAGGACUGGGCACCAAGGUGUGGGUGAAGGCAAACCAUGCUGUAAACUCCCCAAGUCUUUACAAGGGACUGCAGUUCAGAGGGUGAAGGGAGGAAGGAGGGAGGAGGUUGCUGGGUCCCCUUUCCACCUCAUGUGGCACUGAAAUGCUCACAUUCAACCCCUUCUGCUGUCCCCCUCCCCCAUUCAAUCAUAUCACUGAUCACCCUGCCUAAUGCUCCCUAGUUUCCUGUUUGUUGGUAAUAGGACUUUUCUCCUUUGGUAUCACUAAUGAUAAUAUUUUUAUAUUCCAAAAAUGAUGAUAAAAGUAAUACAGUGAUUAUUGUUAAUCCCUUUCCUCCCUUACUGAUUAAACAUUAAUAGUGACUUCAGUGAGGAAACUCAUUAAUAAGACACACCAACAAGCAUCUUUCCAAGGCCUCAUCAGAAUGUUCCAACAGCAAAUAAAUACCUUGGUGAUAGGUUGAGAAGCAGGAGAACCACUCAAUAAUGCAGACACCCUGUGGGUGGAAGACAAGCGAUGGGUAGCAUUUGGGAAGCCAAUAAUGAUCUUUUUUUUUUUAUUUUAAUAUUCCAAUCUCUGGAUGAAGUAGGUGCUCAAGAAAUGUUGAACAAAUGACUAUGCAUUCCAUUCCCUCCCUGUUAGCACUUAUUUUCUUCCCCAAAUUUGCCAUCCCCCAAACACUGUCCCUAAUAAAUAAUCCAGCUGCAAUUACUUUCAACCACGUUCUAUCAGAAGAAUUUGAGUAUGUGGGACUACUUAAAAAUAUCUUGACUCAUGCUGUCAAAUAAAGCCCACGUAUUAUUGAAUAUGAUGCAUACAUUAAAAGAAUGAGGUAAUGACUGUCUAAAGGACCUAACUUUGUGGGUAGCAAUAUUCUGAUUAUUAAAAAGGAACUUCUCGGAAACCACCAGCUUUUGCCCACUCACACAACUUCCCUCCUUCUGACAUUUGGAAAAAAUAACUUUCUCUGUCUUUGAACUCAAAACACUGAUUAUCAUAGUUGUGUGGGAAUUUAGAAACCAUAUAAUCCAAUUCUCUCAUUUAAUAAAUAAGGAUAUAAAGAUUGGAGUAGCUUAAUAAUUAGCUCAAGAUCUCACUUCUAGUUAGAAUUACUAGAGCCAAAGGACAAUGACCAGUAUCUCAGACUGGUGAUACUUCUCCCACAGAGUACUGAAUUUUUUUGUAGGAGAUCAGGGAUGAAUAUUCACCAGAUCUAUGGAAGCAACCUAUUAUGGUUAUUAGGAGUAGGCACAAAUGGAAAAGAAUGAAUGAAAUAGAACCAUUUAUAUAUAAUAACUUGGAAACACCUCCAGAGACUAUUGAAUGAAG